AGAGUUUGAUCAUGGCUCAGAGCGAACGCUGGCGGCAGGCUUAACACAUGCAAGUCGAGCGGGCGUAGCAAUACGUCAGCGGCAGACGGGUGAGUAACGCGUGGGAACGUACCUUUUGGUUCGGAACAACCCAGGGAAACUUGGGCUAAUACCGGAUAAGCCCUUACGGGGAAAGAUUUAUCGCCGAAAGAUCGGCCCGCGUCUGAUUAGCUAGUUGGCGAGGUAAUGGCUCACCAAGGCGACGAUCAGUAGCUGGUCUGAGAGGAUGAUCAGCCACAUUGGGACUGAGACACGGCCCAAACUCCUACGGGAGGCAGCAGUGGGGAAUAUUGGACAAUGGGCGCAAGCCUGAUCCAGCCAUGCCGCGUGAGUGAUGAAGGCCCUAGGGUUGUAAAGCUCUUUUGUGCGGGAAGAUAAUGACGGUACCGCAAGAAUAAGCCCCGGCUAACUUCGUGCCAGCAGCCGCGGUAAUACGAAGGGGGCUAGCGUUGCUCGGAAUCACUGGGCGUAAAGGGUGCGUAGGCGGGUCUUUAAGUCAGGGGUGAAAUCCUGGAGCUCAACUCCAGAACUGCCUUUGAUACUGAAGAUCUUGAGUUCGGGAGAGGUGAGUGGAACUGCGAGUGUAGAGGUGAAAUUCGUAGAUAUUCGCAAGAACACCAGUGGCGAAGGCGGCUCACUGGCCCGAUACUGACGCUGAGGCACGAAAGCGUGGGGAGCAAACAGGAUUAGAUACCCUAGUAGUCC
RNAcentral lists this ribosomal RNA (744 nucleotides) under uncultured bacterium. RNAcentral's name for it is "bacterial SSU rRNA". It matches the Rfam family "Bacterial small subunit ribosomal RNA", at positions 8 to 796 of the family's 1533-position model. The record is from RNAcentral.